RNAcentral lists this ribosomal RNA (434 nucleotides) under uncultured bacterium. Its description in RNAcentral is "bacterial SSU rRNA". It matches the Rfam family "Bacterial small subunit ribosomal RNA", at positions 29 to 507 of the family's 1533-position model. The record is from RNAcentral.
AACGAACGCUGGCGGCAGGCCUAACACAUGCAAGUCGAACGCCCUAGCAAUAGGGAGUGGCAGACGGGUGAGUAACGCGUGGGAACGUGCCUUUCGGUUCGGAAUAACUCAGGGAAACUUGAGCUAAUACCGGAUACGCCCUUCCGGGGGAAAGAUUUAUUGCCGAAAGAUCGGCCCGCGUCCGAUUAGCUAGUUGGUGAGGUAAAGGCUCACCAAGGCGACGAUCGGUAGCUGGUCUGAGAGGAUGAUCAGCCACACUGGGACUGAGACACGGCCCAGACUCCUACGGGAGGCAGCAGUGGGGAAUAUUGGACAAUGGGCGCAAGCCUGAUCCAGCCAUGCCGCGUGAGUGAUGAAGGCCCUAGGGUUGUAAAGCUCUUUCGCCAGGGACGAUAAUGACGGUACCUGGAUAAGAAGCCCCGGCUAACUUCGUG